CUCUUCGGGGAUGAUUAAACCGGCGCACGGGUGAGUAACACGUGAGUGACCUGCCUUUUAGACUGGAACAACUUACCGAAAGGUGAGCUAAUGCCGGAUGAGUUAUAUAAGUGCAUGUUUAUAUAGGAAAAGUUGGGGAGACCUGACGCUGAAAGAUGGACUCGCGUCCCAUUAGCUAGUUGGUAGGGUAAUGGCCUACCAAGGCGACGAUGGGUAGCCGGCCUGAGAGGGUGGCCGGCCACACUGGGACUGAGACACGGCCCAGACUCCUACGGGAGGCAGCAGUGGGGAAUUUUGCGCAAUGCUCGUAAGAGUGACGCAGCGACGCCGCGUGAAUGACGAAGGCCUUCGGGUCGUAAAGUUCUUUCGACAGGGAAGAAAAUGCCUAUAAGUAACUGUGUAUGUAUUGACGGUACCUGUAUAAGCAGCCCCGGCUAACUCCGUGCCAGCAGCCGCGGUAAUACGGAGGGGGCGAGCGUUGUUCGGAGUGACUGGGCGUAAAGAGCACGUAGGCGGUGUUGUAAGUCAUUAGUCAAAGACUAGAGCUCAACUUUAGUAAGGCUAGUGAUACUAUAAUACUAGAGUAUCAGAGAGGAUUGCAGAAUUCCUGGUGUAGCGGUGAAAUGCGUAGAUAUCAGGAGGAAUACCGUUAGCGAAGGCGGCAAUCUGGCUGGAAACUGACGCUGAGGUGCGAAAGCGUGGGUAGCAAACAGGAUUAGAUACCCUGGUAGUCCACGCUGUAAACGAUGGAUGCUAGGUGUUGGGCUUUUAAGUUCAGUGCCGCAGCAAACGCGAUAAGCAUCCCGCCUGGGG
Molecule: ribosomal RNA, 813 nt
Filed under: uncultured bacterium
Lineage: Bacteria
Description: bacterial SSU rRNA
Rfam family: Bacterial small subunit ribosomal RNA
Source: RNAcentral